GGGGGAAUAUUGCACAAUGGGCGCAAGCCUGAUGCAGCCAUGCCGCGUGUAUGAAGAAGGCCUUCGGGUUGUAAAGUACUUUCAGCGAGGAGGAAGGCGUUGUGGUUAAUAACCGCAACGAUUGACGUUACUCGCAGAAGAAGCACCGGCUAACUCCGUGCCAGCAGCCGCGGUAAUACGGAGGGUGCAAGCGUUAAUCGGAAUUACUGGGCGUAAAGCGCACGCAGGCGGUCUGUCAAGUCGGAUGUGAAAUCCCCGGGCUCAACCUGGGAACUGCAUCCGAAACUGGCAGGCUAGAGUCUUGUAGAGGGGGGUAGAAUUCCAGGUGUAGCGGUGAAAUGCGUAGAGAUCUGGAGGAAUACCGGUGGCGAAGGCGGCCCCCUGGACAAAGACUGACGCUCAGGUGCGAAAGCGUGGGGAGCAAACA
This 427-nucleotide ribosomal RNA is filed under the name uncultured bacterium. RNAcentral describes it as "partial 16S ribosomal RNA". It matches the Rfam family "Bacterial small subunit ribosomal RNA", at positions 355 to 774 of the family's 1533-position model. The record is from RNAcentral.